AAUGAACGUUGGCGGCGUGGAUUAGGCAUGCAAGUCGUGCGGAAAGGCUCCUUCGGGAGUACUCGAGCGGCGAAAGGGAGAGUAACGCGUGGAUAUCUACCCCCUGGCCUGGAAUAGCGGCGGGAAACUGCCGGUAAUACCAGAUAAUAUCUGCGGAUCAAAGGUGUGAUUCCGCCGGGGGCUGAGUCCGCGUCCUAUUAGCUAGUUGGGGAGGUAACGGCCCACCAAGGCUGAGAUGGGUACCGGGUGUGAGAGCAUGGCCCGGCUCACUGGGACUGAGACACUGCCCAGACACCUACGGGUGGCUGCAGUCGAGAAUCUUCGGCAAUGGGCGCAAGCCUGACCGAGCGACGCCGCGUGCGGGAUGAAGGCCUUCGGGUUGUAAACCGCUGUCAGAGGGGAGGAAAUGCAUGGGGGUUCUCCCUCAUGUUUGACCUAUCCUCAGAGGAAGUACGAGCUAAGUUCGUGCCAGCCGCCGCCGUAA
This 484-nucleotide ribosomal RNA is filed under the name uncultured bacterium. Its description in RNAcentral is "partial 16S ribosomal RNA". It matches the Rfam family "Bacterial small subunit ribosomal RNA", at positions 28 to 523 of the family's 1533-position model. The record is from RNAcentral.